Microcebus murinus (gray mouse lemur) is the source of this 1025-nucleotide non-coding RNA. The record is from RefSeq and is a predicted model, not a curated record. NCBI's taxonomy places the organism in Eukaryota, Metazoa, Chordata, Mammalia, Primates, Cheirogaleidae.
AUGCGCGCUGCUGCCGCUGCUGCACACUGGCCGGCCGCCACCCACCUGCGCAGGGGAGCGAGCGCCGGCCAGGCCGCGCGGCGCCAUGCCCUGUACCGCACCGAGGAGCGCGGCUGGCCCCGCUCGCUGGUCUACCGCGUCUUCUUCAAGAAUGUAGCUGGUCACUACAUUUCCCCCUUUCAUGAUAUCCCUCUGAAGGUGGAUUCUAAAGAGGAGAAUGGCAUUCCUACAAAGAAAGCACGAAAUGAUGAAUAUGAGAAUUUGUUUAAUAUGGUUGUAGAAGUACCUCGGUGGACAAAUGCUAAAAUGGAGAUUGCCACUGAGGAACCAUUGAAUCCUAUUAAACAAGAUGUAAAGAAUGGCAAGCUACGCUAUGCGGCGAAUAUCUUUCUUCACAAGGGUUAUAUAUGGAAUUAUGGUGCCCUCCCUCAGACUUGGGAAGAUCCCCAUCAAAAAGAUAAGAGCACAAACUGCUGUGGAGAUAAUGAUCCUAUUGAUGUUUGUGAAAUAGGCUCAAAGGUUCUUUCUCGUGGAGAGGUUAUUCAUGUGAAGAUACUUGGAAUUUUGGGUCUCAUUGAUGAAGGUGAAACAGAUUGGAAAUUGAUUGCUAUCAAUGUGAAUGAUCCUGAAGCUUCAAAAUUUCAUGAUAUUGGUGAUGUUAAGAAGUUCAAACCAGGCUACCUGGAAGCUACCCUUAAUUGGUUCAGAGUUUAUAAAGUGCCGAAGGAAAACCAGAAAACCAGUUUGCCUUUAAUGGAGAAUUCAAAAAACAGGCUUUUGCUCUUGAAGUUAUUAAAUCUACUCAUGAAUGUUGGAAAGCAUUGCUGAUGAAGAAGUGUAAUGGAGGGGCUAUAAAUUGCACAAACGUUCAGGUGUGUGAUAGCCCUUUCCAUUGCACUCAAGAUGAAGCAAGAUCCUUAGUUGAAUCGGUAUCAUUUUCACUGAAUAAAGAAAGUGAUGAAGAAGAUGCAGAGCAAGCGUGGUACUUCCUUGGCAAGUGAUUGGAACAUUUGAAAUUCUGCCAU